UUUUACUCGCGUGACCGUCAGUAACCGACUUUGAGUUUGUUGUGGUCGGCGGUCAUGGAGGCAGAAAAGCAGCGACAGAAAGAUAUAGCGAAUGCUUUGCCCAAACAUUCCUACUGGUUUGAUUUUUGGCUCUUUCUGCUUUUUGAUGUCGUUCUUUUUUUAAUUGUAUAUUUGUUGGUGCCGUAGCUAAUUUUUCAUUUCCUCUGCUUACACGGUUGGGACCAGGGUGUGCCGGGCCUGCUUCUGUUACAAAAUACCAAAGAUGGAUGCAGUUUAUCAGUUGUUGGUGACCGACUAAUGAAAAGCAUGGGUCUCUCUGGCAGGACCCUCUUGCUGAAUUCCAAUGCCCUCCUUUGUUUAUGGCAGCGCUGAACUACUUAGACGCCAAAACAGAAAGGAGAAGAAGUGGAAAAGAAAACCCGAAACAAUGAAAAGAUCCAGCGGCCUUAAAAAGGAGAAUUCUGCUUUGUUUUGAAACUGGCACAACUGUCGGCGACCUCCCGUCUCAGAAACCCUCUUGUUAGAAACCUGUUCUUGCACUGUCAUUGUUGAUAUCUACAGAGUGUGGCUAAUUUAAAAAUAAAUGAAGAAACGCC
This is a long non-coding RNA of Polypterus senegalus (gray bichir), 596 nucleotides long. RefSeq lists it as uncharacterized. Lineage: Eukaryota; Metazoa; Chordata; Cladistia; Polypteriformes; Polypteridae. The transcript has 3 exons. The record is from RefSeq and is a predicted model, not a curated record.